Long non-coding RNA from Stegodyphus dumicola, 310 nucleotides. RefSeq lists it as uncharacterized. NCBI's taxonomy places the organism in Eukaryota, Metazoa, Arthropoda, Arachnida, Araneae, Eresidae. The record is from RefSeq and is a predicted model, not a curated record.
CAGAUUUGGAUUUUCUAUUUCAUAGUUAUUGAAAUCAUAAUGAGAAUGAAGUACUGCCACUAAGGUAAAGGUGCUAACUUGCAAGGAGCUGUUCUCAAAACAUUGGGUGACAAAGAAUUCACUUUUACAAAAAUCGAGCAGGAUAUUAAAGACAGCGAACUAUAGAACAAAUAUGGCGAAGCUGCAUGAAGUCUAUGUUGAAUUUUAUUAUUGAAAAAAAUAUGCUCUUCAGAUUUAAUGUUAGUUUUUAUUGUUUAACAGUAAUUGCAGUUUUCGAAUACCUGUAAAAUAAACCUAAUUCUUAAAUUAA